AGAGAUAAAACGCUUAGAGCUGGAUUGUACGGCCCUUAUUUCUGUUGGACAGCCAAGAGUGACCUUUCUAUGAUUGAGUCUUUGAGGGCUCUGAAAAUGUAACCUGUGUUUGGGCCUGAAGGUCUUUGUUUUACUUCAAAUGGACUGUUGGAGAAGGAUGAGUAGAAAAAUUGGACCUGGGACUCUUGAGCUCUUACCUCUGCCUUGGGAACAGGGAUGGUGCAAGGUGCUGAGCCGGGGACCCAGGAGCCUGCAGGCCUUGCCCUGCCAAAGGUAAUUCACAUUUCUCUUAC
Molecule: long non-coding RNA, 293 nt
Filed under: Dromaius novaehollandiae (emu)
Lineage: Eukaryota; Metazoa; Chordata; Aves; Casuariiformes; Dromaiidae
Description: lncRNA (ENSDNVG00000012412.1)
Source: RNAcentral